AUGCAGGUCAGGCUCGUGGGGUUGGUGAGUGACAAGGCGGGGAGGAACACGGAUCUGUCUCCCGCAUCGACUUCAUCAGACGGGAUGAUUUUUCGUGAUGAUGGGGAUCCAUUCUUCUUCCAUGUUGACGCCUCCGGUCCUGCCACGAUUCGUCUUGUCGUCCUCCCCGGCAUUCGCAUAGUUUCCAGUGAGGAAGCACUCACUACAGUUGCUUGGGUUUGGGAUAUGCAGGUCAGGCUCGUGGGGUUGGUGAGUGACAAGGCGGGGAGGAACACGGAUCUGUCUCCCGCAUCGACUUCAUCAGACGGGAUGAUUUUUCGUGAUGAUGGGGAUCCAUUCUUCUUCCAUGUUGACGCCUCCGGUCCUGCCACGAUUCGUCUUGUCGUCCUCCCCGGCAUUCGCAUAGUUUCCAGUGAGGAAGCACUCACUACAGUUGCUUGGGUUUGGGAUAUGCAGGUCAGGCUCGUGGGGUUGGUGAGUGACAAGGCGGGGAGGAACACGGAUCUGUCUCCCGCAUCGACUUCAUCAGACGGGAUGAUUUUUCGUGAUGAUGGGGAUCCAUUCUUCUUCCAUGUUGACGCCUCCGGUCCUGCCACGAUUCGUCUUGUCGUCCUCCCCGGCAUUCGCAUAGUUUCCAGUGAGGAAGCACUCACUACAGUUGCUUGGGUUUGGGAUAUGCAGGUCAGGCUCGUGGGGUUGGUGAGUGACAAGGCGGGGAGGAACACGGAUCUGUCUCCCGCAUCGACUUCAUCAGACGGGAUGAUUUUUCGUGAUGAUGGGGAUCCAUUCUUCUUCCAUGUUGACGCCUCCGGUCCUGCCACGAUUCGUCUUGUCGUCCUCCCCGGCAUUCGCAUAGUUUCCAGUGAGGAAGCACUCACUACAGUUGCUUGGGUUUGGGAUAUGCAGGUCAGGCUCGUGGGGUUGGUGAGUGACAAGGCGGGGAGGAACACGGAUCUGUCUCCCGCAUCGACUUCAUCAGACGGGAUGAUUUUUCGUGAUGAUGGGGAUCCAUUCUUCUUCCAUGUUGACGCCUCCGGUCCUGCCACGAUUCGUCUUGUCGUCCUCCCCGGCAUUCGCAUAGUUUCCAGUGAGGAAGCACUCACUACAGUUGCUUGGGUUUGGGAUAUGCAGGUCAGGCUCGUGGGGUUGGUGAGUGACAAGGCGGGGAGGAACACGGAUCUGUCUCCCGCAUCGACUUCAUCAGACGGGAUGAUUUUUCGUGAUGAUGGGGAUCCAUUCUUCUUCCAUGUUGACGCCUCCGGUCCUGCCACGAUUCGUCUUGUCGUCCUCCCCGGCAUUCGCAUAGUUUCCAGUGAGGAAGCACUCACUACAGUUGCUUGGGUUUGGGAUAUGCAGGUCAGGCUCGUGGGGUUGGUGAGUGACAAGGCGGGGAGGAACACGGAUCUGUCUCCCGCAUCGACUUCAUCAGACGUUACUUUACCAUUUCCAACUAACCAGCCAUUUGAAAGGCACACUAUAAUACUGUACUAUUCGGAUUUGCCUUGGGUCAGAAGUUGCACAUGCUUGUUACCUGAUGUUGACAAGUGCUCUGGUUCAUCAGCCCAUCUACUAGUGCUAGAUGUAGGAGGUACAACGGCCAGCGACCGAAACGACACCAAAAGCCAAAGGAAGCUUGAAGUCUGCUCCUUCUCCACCAGUAGAGAGGAGCCUCCUUUUUGGGUUCCGCGUGUCUGCUCCGACCCUACCAGCGCCGAUGCCAUGGAAGCCUGUCUUCCGGCUCUCAGUGAUUUGCUCCUCGAGGUGUAUGCCGUGCUGCACCUGAAUCCUGUUGACUACGAGCAGCGGAACGCCUUGUUUGAUGUAUUCAGCAACAUGGCAACUAAAAUCUUUGCAUCUACACGAUACUUUUGUGGAAGGUGGACUGUCGCUGUCAGAAAUCAGAAAUACUAUUUUCUUGGCUUUGGUCUUUUGGACAGUUGA
This 1941-nucleotide ribosomal RNA is filed under the name Triticum aestivum (bread wheat). RNAcentral describes it as "partial small subunit ribosomal RNA". The record is from RNAcentral. Lineage: Eukaryota; Viridiplantae; Streptophyta; Magnoliopsida; Poales; Poaceae.